Molecule: ribosomal RNA, 401 nt
Filed under: uncultured bacterium
Lineage: Bacteria
Description: bacterial SSU rRNA
Rfam family: Bacterial small subunit ribosomal RNA
Source: RNAcentral
AACGAACGCUGGCGGCGUGCCUAACACAUGCAAGUCGUGCGAGAAAGUUCCUUCGGGAGCGAGUAAAGCGGCGCACGGGUGAGUAACACGUAGGUAACCUGCCCCCCAGUCUGGAACAACUAGAGGAAACUCUAGCUAAUGCCGGAUGAGACCACGAUCCCUUCGGGGGUUGCGGCCAAAGAUGGCCUCUACUUGUAAGCUAUCGCUGAGGGAUGGGCCUGCGGGCCAUUAGCUUGUUGGUGAGGUAACGGCUCACCAAGGCUGUGAUGGCUAGCUGGUCUGAGAGAAUGACCAGCCACACUGGGACUGAGACACGGCCCAGACUCCUACGGGAGGCAGCAGUGGGGAAUAUUGCGCAAUGGGCGAAAGCCUGACGCAGCGACGCCGCGUGGGUGAUGAAG